GCGUCGGUAGUGUAACGGUUCAGCAUGGGCUCCCGUAGAAAGUGAAAUCUGGGUUCGAAUCUCAGCCGACGCA
Molecule: non-coding RNA, 73 nt
Organism: Parelaphostrongylus tenuis
Lineage: Eukaryota; Metazoa; Nematoda; Chromadorea; Rhabditida; Metastrongylidae
Source: the annotation of a GenBank genome assembly